Molecule: ribosomal RNA, 468 nt
Filed under: Burkholderiaceae bacterium Ellin7046
Lineage: Bacteria; Pseudomonadati; Pseudomonadota; Betaproteobacteria; Burkholderiales; Burkholderiaceae
Description: bacterial SSU rRNA
Rfam family: Bacterial small subunit ribosomal RNA
Source: RNAcentral
AUUGAACGCUGGCGGCAUGCCUUACACAUGCAAGUCGAACGGCAGCACGGGGGCAACCCUGGUGGCGAGUGGCGAACGGGUGAGUAAUACAUCGGAACGUGUCCUGGAGUGGGGGAUAGCCCGGCGAAAGCCGGAUUAAUACCGCAUACGCUCUAUGGAGGAAAGCGGGGGAUCUUCGGACCUCGCGCUCAAGGGGCGGCCGAUGGCGGAUUAGCUAGUUGGUAGGGUAAAGGCCUACCAAGGCGACGAUCCGUAGCUGGUCUGAGAGGACGACCAGCCACACUGGGACUGAGACACGGCCCAGACUCCUACGGGAGGCAGCAGUGGGGAAUUUUGGACAAUGGGGGCAACCCUGAUCCAGCAAUGCCGCGUGUGUGAAGAAGGCCUUCGGGUUGUAAAGCACUUUUGUCCGGAAAGAAAUCCUCUGGGUUAAUACCUCGGGGGGAUGACGGUACCGGAAGAAUAAGC